This 429-nucleotide ribosomal RNA is filed under the name uncultured prokaryote. RNAcentral describes it as "bacterial SSU rRNA". It matches the Rfam family "Bacterial small subunit ribosomal RNA", at positions 355 to 796 of the family's 1533-position model. The record is from RNAcentral.
UCGAGGAUCUUCGGCAAUGUGCGCAAGCACGACCGAGCGACGCCGCGUGGGCGACGAAGGCCUUCGGGUUGUAAAGCCCUGUCGAGGGGGAGAAAAGGCAACUUGAUCGACCCCUGGAGGAAGCACGGGCUAAGUUCGUGCCAGCAGCCGCGGUAAGACGAACCGUGCGAACGUUGUUCGGAAUCACUGGGCUUAAAGGGCGCGUAGGCGGGCUGCCGCGUCCGGGGUGAAAUCCUCCCGCUCAACGGGAGAACGGCCUCGGGUACGGGCGGCCUCGAGGGGGGUAGGGGCGUGCGGAACUGUAGGUGGAGCGGUGAAAUGCGUUGAGAUCUACAGGAACUCCGGUGGCGAAGGCGGCACGCUGGACCCCUUCUGACGCUGAGGCGCGAAAGCCAGGGGAGCGAACGGGAUUAGAUACCCCCGUAGUCC